Molecule: ribosomal RNA, 460 nt
Filed under: uncultured bacterium
Lineage: Bacteria
Description: partial 16S ribosomal RNA
Rfam family: Bacterial small subunit ribosomal RNA
Source: RNAcentral
CCUACGGGAGGCAGCAGUGAGGAAUAUUGGUCAAUGUCCGCAAGUCUGAACCAGCCAAGCCGCGUGAAGGAAGACUGCUCUAUGGAUUGUAAACCUCUUUUGUCAGGGGGUAAAGUCAGCCACGCGUCUCUGUCGGAGAGUAUCUUAAGAAAAAGCAUCGGCUAACUCCGUGCCAGCAGCCGCGGUAAUACGGAGGAUUCGAGCGUUUACCGGAUUUAUUGGGUUUAAAGGGUUCGUAGGCGGUCGGAUAAGGUAGAGGUCAAAUCCGGAGGCUCAACUUCCGAAGUGCCGUUGAUACUGUUCGGCUAGAGAGUAGGAGAGGUAGGCGGAAUGCAUGGUGUAGCGGUGAAAUGCUUAGAGAUCACACAGAACACCGAUUGCGAAGGCAGCUUACCGGGCCCCUACUGACGCUGAGGCACGAAAGCGUGGGGAGCGAACAGGAUUAGAUACCCGGGUAGUC